GACUCUCGGCAACGGAUAUCUCGGCUCUCGCAUCGAUGAAGAACGUAGCGAAAUGCGAUACUUGGUGUGAAUUGCAGAAUCCCGUGAACCAUCGAGUCUUUGAACGCAAGUUGCGCCCGAAGCCACUAGGCCGAGGGCACGUCUGCCUGGGUGUCACGCAACGUCGCCAGCGCCCAAU
Molecule: ribosomal RNA, 178 nt
Filed under: Hydrochorea corymbosa
Lineage: Eukaryota; Viridiplantae; Streptophyta; Magnoliopsida; Fabales; Fabaceae
Description: 5.8S ribosomal RNA
Rfam family: 5.8S ribosomal RNA (bases 1-156)
About the family: 5.8S ribosomal RNA (5.8S rRNA) is a component of the large subunit of the eukaryotic ribosome. It is transcribed by RNA polymerase I as part of the 45S precursor that also contains 18S and 28S rRNA.
Source: RNAcentral